RNAcentral lists this ribosomal RNA (1091 nucleotides) under Salinivibrio sp. NC14. RNAcentral describes it as "bacterial SSU rRNA". It matches the Rfam family "Bacterial small subunit ribosomal RNA", at positions 56 to 1129 of the family's 1533-position model. Lineage: Bacteria; Pseudomonadati; Pseudomonadota; Gammaproteobacteria; Vibrionales; Vibrionaceae. The record is from RNAcentral.
UGCAGGUCGAGCGGAACGGCAGUAUUGAGCUUCGGUGGAUGUACUGGACGUCGAGCGGCGGACGGGUGUGUACGGCUGGGAACCUGCCCUGAUGGGGGGGAUAACCGUUGGAAACGACGGCUAAUACCGCAUAAUGUCUACGGACCAAAGGUGGCCUCUACAUGUAAGCUAUCGCGUUGGGAUGGGCCCAGUUUGGAUAAGCUAGUUGGUAAGGUAACGGCUUACCAAGGCGACGAUCCUUACCUGGUUAGAGAGGAUGAUCAGCCACACUGGGACUCAGACACGGCCCAGACUCCUACGGGAGGCAGCAGUGGGGAAUAUUGCACAAUGGGGGAGACCCUGAUGCAGCCAUGCCGCGUGUGUGAAGAAGGCCUUCGGGUUGUAAAGCACUUUCAGCAGUCAGGAAGGUUGUGUACUUAUUACGUGCAUUGCUUGACGUUAGCUGCAGAAGAAGCACCGGCGUAUCUCCGUGCCAGCAGCCGCGGUAAUACGGAGGGUGCGAGCGUUAAUCGGAAUUACUGGGCGUUAAGCGCAUGCAGGCGGUUUGUUAAGUCAGAUGUGAAAGCCCGGGGCUCAACCUCGGAACCGCAUUUGAAACUGGCAGGCAAGAGUCUUGUAGAGGGGGGUAGAAUUUCAGGUGUAGCGGUGAAAUGCGUAGAGAUCUGUAGGAAUACCAGUGGCGAAGGCGGCCCCCUGGACAAAGACAGACGCUCAGAUGCGAAAGCGUGGGUAGCAAACAGGAUUAGAUACCCUGGUAGUCCACGCCGUAAACGAUGUCUACUUGGAGGCUCAGGUUUAAGACUUUGGCUUUCGGAGCUAACGCAUAAAGUAGACCGCCUGGGGAGUACGGCCGCAAGGUUAAAACUCAAAAGAAUUGACGGGGGCCCGCACAAGCGGUGGAGCAUGUGGUUUAAUUCGAUGCAACGCGAAGAACCUUACCUACUCUUGACAUCCAGCGAAUCCUUUAGAGAUAGAGGAGUGCCUUCGGGAGCGCUGAGACAGGUGCUGCAUGGCUGUCGUCAGCUCGUGUUGUCAAAUGUUGGGUUAAGUCCCGCAACGAGCGCAACCCUAUCUUGUUGCCAGCAACGUAA